GUGCUUGUUUUGGCAGCACAUACACUAAAAUUGGAAUGAUUAACAUGGCCCCUGCGCAAGGAUGACACGCAAAUUCAUGAAGCUUUCCAUAUUUCU
Molecule: small nuclear RNA, 96 nt
Filed under: Chinchilla lanigera (long-tailed chinchilla)
Lineage: Eukaryota; Metazoa; Chordata; Mammalia; Rodentia; Chinchillidae
Source: RNAcentral